GACGAACGCUGGCGGCGUGCCUAAUACAUGCAAGUAGAACGCUGAAGGAGGAGCUUGCUCUUCUGGAUGAGUUGCGAACGGGUGAGUAACGCGUAGGUAACCUGCCUGGUAGCGGGGGAUAACUAUUGGAAACGAUAGCUAAUACCGCAUAAGAGUAGAUGUUGCAUGACAUUUGCUUAAAAGGUGCAAUUGCAUCACUACCAGAUGGACCUGCGUUGUAUUAGCUAGUUGGUGGGGUAACGGCUCACCAAGGCGACGAUACAUAGCCGACCUGAGAGGGUGAUCGGCCACACUGGGACUGAGACACGGCCCAGACUCCUACUGGAGGCAGCAGUAGGGAAUCUUCGGCAAUGGACGGAAGUCUGACCGAGCAACGCCGCGUGAGUGAAGAAGGUUUUCGGAUCGUAAAGCUCUGUUGUAAGAGAAGAACGAGUGUGAGAGUGGAAAGUUCACACUGUGACGGUAUCUUACCAGAAAGGGACGGCUAACUACGUG
This 495-nucleotide ribosomal RNA is filed under the name uncultured bacterium. RNAcentral's name for it is "partial 16S ribosomal RNA". It matches the Rfam family "Bacterial small subunit ribosomal RNA", at positions 28 to 507 of the family's 1533-position model. The record is from RNAcentral.